CAAGCGCCAGCGGCAUUAAAUAGUCAAAUGAUCACAUUUUUUUUUGUCAUUUUUUCGUAAAUCUUCUUUGCAGAAAACGAUGCAGAGCACUGUGCUCCAUUUCUCCACUGGAGCGCAUGACGGGGGUUGCUGAGGUCGUCCUAUUUUUCUCUCUGCAGGUUUACAAGCACAGACACGGGGCCCAGUCUCACCUCCCAGCAGCAUCUCGUGCAGCAGGUUGUCUAUCUUGGCCAGGCCGCAGAGCUUAAUGAACUGGAGCUGUUCUAUCAUUUGCCAGGUGAUGCUCUGGAGGGUGGGCAACAGGAGCAGCAGCUCUCCAAAACGACCCCUGGAGUCGUACUGACGGUCGUUAAUGUAAUCUUCCAGACUCAUCUGGACCUGGAGACACACGUCAAAGUGCGAAAAGCGGAUGAUGCACGGAACCACGACGAGCACCACGAUCCACACCACCGCGCUGACGAAGAGUGCGUGAAUGCGUGAACUUACCUUGUACCAAUGUCCAACCAGCUGCCGUAGUCCUGCACCAGGAAGAAAAAAUGCUGAGGAAAGGAAAUGAAAUAUACCCGCUCAUGCACAUCCACCUACCUAAUGUGAUCCAGCUGAUGAUCUGAUUAAAAAGUGGCAGGCCCUGUUUUUGCUGCAGACUGGAGUGAGUGAAGGAUGGCACGUAUGCACACACUGCCACAUGGAGCAUCUGUUGAGUUUGACAGCAUCAUCAAACUUCUCCAGCUGAAUCAGCAUCCUGGCAUUGAGGAUGAACUCCGUUUGUUUUGACUCAGUGAGUUUUCUGGGAAAA
Long non-coding RNA from Solea solea (common sole), 796 nucleotides. RefSeq lists it as uncharacterized. The record is from RefSeq and is a predicted model, not a curated record. Lineage: Eukaryota; Metazoa; Chordata; Actinopteri; Pleuronectiformes; Soleidae. The transcript is spliced from 5 exons.